UUUGGAUUCUGAAGAUGCAAAUUUAGUUCCUCUUUCUUGACCAGCGAGAUCUUUGACUAAGCCAUCUCCCCAGCUGACCUUUUGUGUAUAUACAAUGGUUAUCAAAUAAAAUAUUUCAAACCAUGGUCAAGGCAGGGAAAGUUUUAAAGGCCUAAUGAUGCUAAGAUGACCCAUUUUUCACCAGUGCUGGAGAAGUACAGCAAGAAAUUUGUGGCUAAAGACUGUCUUUGUGUCAUGACUGAUCUCCUAAAUGGAAACAUGCUGUGGCUGCCAUAGACUCAGCUCUGUCCUCCUCUGUCUUAUCUGAAUCAUGCGAAGCUUCUUUACCCUUUAAAGCUCCUUUCAAGAACAUCAUUGACUUUGAAAAUGGUUUGCAGAGAUUGCUCCAGACAUUUUGUUUUAGUUGUAUUUGGAGUUUGCUGAUAAUGAAGACACCACAUACUUCAGUCACAAGUCAUGGAACAAUCACUCUGGUACUGACCUGGGAGUUUUGGCCACAUAAGGUAGCUCUCACACUAUUGGAAACUGCUGUGUAUACUCCCAGAGGAGAAGAAUAAGAAUCAGCAUCACCUGACUAUGAACCUUAAGCACUACAAUAAUGACCAUCCUGGUAGGACAUGUCCCUUUGACAUUGUUUUCUUCAUAUAAGAACUGUAUGUAUCAUGGUUAUUAGUAAACAUCACAAAUUUUACUUGUGAUAUAUUUCAUUUUAAAUCACUGAAUAUAUACACUUGGUCAAUAGAAUCUGCUUAUAAAAAUGCAAUUUAAAUGUUAUUUAGAAACAAUAUGCCUUGACAAAACAAACCACUCUAAUUAUAUGAAAAACAGAAGCCAAC
Mus spicilegus (steppe mouse) is the source of this 836-nucleotide long non-coding RNA. Lineage: Eukaryota; Metazoa; Chordata; Mammalia; Rodentia; Muridae. The record is from Ensembl.